GUCCACGCCCUAAACGAUGUCAACUGGUUGUUGGACGGCUUGCUGUUCAGUAACGAAGCUAACGCGUGAAGUUGACCGCCUGGGGAGUACGGCCGCAAGGUUGAAACUCAAAGGAAUUGACUGGGACCCCGCACAAGCGGUGGAUGAUGUGGUUUAAUUCGAUGCAACGCGAAAACCUUACCUACCCUUGACAUGUCAAGAAUCUUGCAGAGAUGUGAGAGUGCUCGAAAGAGAACUUGAACACAGGUACUGCAUGGCCGUCGU
This 264-nucleotide ribosomal RNA is filed under the name uncultured bacterium. RNAcentral describes it as "partial 16S ribosomal RNA". It matches the Rfam family "Bacterial small subunit ribosomal RNA", at positions 793 to 1055 of the family's 1533-position model. The record is from RNAcentral.